UUUCAUCUCCCAUUCCCAACUUACCCAAACCCUAAUAAAAUCCACCGCCCCAAAAUUCCUGCAACCCUCUGCCGGCGGCGUCACCCCACACAACCCCAAUCCUCCCCAAAAUUACACCAUAAAAUCCCUUCCAUCCCAUUAUUCCAAAUAUCCAACUCGUUUCCUUCAAACCAUCAUCAAGUUCCUCGAAUUUUAGAUCAAAAUCGGAUCCCCCAAAACUCUAAUUAACCCCAAACCCACCAAAAUUAACAUCCUACAGUUCCCAGGCUUCCCCAAACCCAAAGCCCUUGAUGAUUUUCCCAAGCAAGCUCUAGAGUGCGUUAGAUUUGGAAUUUAGGUUUUGACCUAAUUUCAGAGUCGGAGUUGUCUCAAAGAUUUCCACUCAUCGGGGCUCGAAGCUUGCCCUGAUAGAGCACUCCUGACUAAGGGUGUUCAUGAGGGUAAGUUUUCGGCUUUAAUGAAGCAGGUCGAGUGGCCAUGCCGUUCAUCUGCUGCUCUUGGCUAAUGCUUCCGUUUGGUCAGUCAGUCUUUUCUUCUUCUUUUUCUCCUUGUUAAUUAGUUACUUAUUUCUGUUUCUUCUUGUUUCUUUCUUCUUCUUUUAUUAGUUCAAAUCGACUUCUGUUUGCAUGUUAGAUUUAAGUUAUAUUAGUUUAUAGUAAUAUUAGCUUAAUAAUGUAGUUAACAUUUUUUUAGUACUUUUGAUUUUAUGCUUGCCUGGCUCCAUUCUCCUUUUGUUUUGCUUCUUUGGAAUUCUGAUGCCAGGAGUUUCAAAAUUCCAUUGAUUUGUUUGCUUGUGGGUUGUGGUUUUUGGACCAAAAAUUGAGCUUUAUAGUUCAGAAGCCCGAAGCAAAGGGGGAAGGUUCAAGCAUGCUGGGGUCUAGCCCAAUUAGUGGUACUUUCUGAAAAGGUUAAUAACAGAAGUUUAAAGGGUAUUUGGGGCAUUUUUAUUGAAAGAAUCUUUUAUAACUGCCUAGAAAAGUUCUUGGAAAGUGGGGAAUGGGUUGGUUUUAACAAACUGAUUCAAAAUGCAGGGUCUAAAAUGAAAAAAUAAAAAUUGGGGAAGGGGUAAAUGGUGAAGUUAAGAAUCAGAUUUUGCUGCCCUAAAGCUGUAUAUAAAAAGGCUCAUUUCCUGUAUUUGUGAUCAGAGAUUAGAGACCUAAAAGUUAGCAAAUGGCUGAAACUAUACACACUGAUAUAAGUACCAAAAUUAGAAAGAAAAAUACAAAAAAGGAUCAUCAAGUACUGUUCUAUUGCAGUUGGUUUGUUGAUAUUUCUUGGGUUUUAAAAGCUAGAGUAAAUUGUUGUUUUCUUUUGGGUUCCAAACAUGAAAAGCUGAUUGAUGAACUGCUGAAUUAUUGUGAGUAUUUUUGGUUGUUUCAGGUAUGUUUCGGACUUUGAAGUGCAAAAUAAAGUUGGAGUUUCAAUGUGUUUAAAUGAAAUUAGACUUCUCUUUCAGAUUUUGUCUUCUUUUGUUUAACAUUACUUGUAUUAAUUAGUUUGGUAGCCAAUGUUUCUAGUUGUAACUAAAUGUUAGCAUCAACACCCUAUUCCCUAGUAAGAUUCAGAAUUCGAGUGUUCAAAAUCUAAGUCUGUAUAGUACUCUAAUUGCGAUUUUGAGACUGUGCUAAACCAUGG
RNAcentral lists this long non-coding RNA (1635 nucleotides) under Nicotiana tabacum (common tobacco). RNAcentral describes it as "long non-coding RNA (NTAB_LNC018474)". Lineage: Eukaryota; Viridiplantae; Streptophyta; Magnoliopsida; Solanales; Solanaceae. The record is from RNAcentral.